This is a non-coding RNA of Labrus bergylta (ballan wrasse), 4093 nucleotides long. NCBI's taxonomy places the organism in Eukaryota, Metazoa, Chordata, Actinopteri, Labriformes, Labridae. The record is from RefSeq and is a predicted model, not a curated record.
UUCUGUGGUUGUCAUCUGUUUUUUUCUUUCGGCCCGGCAGAGAGAAGGCGACAGGGCAAAUUCCAGCCCUUCAGACGACUCUUUGGGAGGAAGAAGAAGAGGGAGGUGAAGGGGGGCUUGGAUGGAGCAGAGCUGAAGGCGAGCUUUUCUACCGGGGAAGUGUGCAAUGGAGUCGUGUCUGACGAGGACGAGCCCAAUCCAAAUUUGAGGGAGUUGAAUCCCAUCGGCUCUCGAGCUCUCUCUCACGACAGCAUCUUCAUCCCAGAGGAGCCGGUGACCGAGGCCGGUCUGGAUCACAGCAUGUCGCAGGAAAACGUCUCAGAUAAAGUCAGGAAUCUGCAGAGGCAGAUCGCACAGGGUAUCAAGUUUGGCCAGAGGCCUCCCUGUCUAAGGAAAAGUGAAGGAGAUGAGGAGAGUUCAGAUGAGGAAGAGGUUCCGCGCAGUCCUCUGAAGGUGUUGGCUCAGGUGGAGUCUGAGCCGGCAAACACAGAGACAAAGCCGGUCCAGGGGGCUCAACAUACUGAACCUCAUAGCACCCCGGUGAAGUCUCCCAGGUCCAAGAGAGUUCUUCCACCCACAGGAACCAUCGAGUCCAUCAACCUGGAUGCCGUUCCACAAUCUGUCCCUCGCCUGGACAACACCGCCGCCAAACACAAACUGGCCGUCAAACCUAAAAACCAGAGAGUGUCACGCAAACACCGGAGGUUUACCCAGGACUUCCAGGAGGUUUCUAUUCCGGGUGUGCUGCAGGAGGAGCUGGAGGCGGCCGGCGUCUCCUCAGAGGAGCAGCGCAGAGCUUCUGUGGAGUCCCUGGACGGUUUCAAGAAACAGAGACUCCACGAGGAGGAGAGACAAGAGACGAGGAGGAGGAGGGAGCUGGAGGAGCAGAGGCUCAAAUGGGAGGAGGAGGAGGAGAAGAGGAAGAGGGUUGCGGAGGAGCUAAGGCUGCGAGAGCUGGAGGAGGAGAGGUGUCGUAAACAACGAGAGGAGGAGGAACAAAGGCUGAGGAGGGAGGAAGAGGAGAGGAGGAUGAGAGCGGAGGAAGAAAGGAGGCAGAGAGAGGAGGAGGAGAGGAGGGUGAGAGAGGAACAGGAGCGCAGGCAGCGUGAAGAGGAGGAGAGGAGGCGACUGGAGGAGCAGAGGAGGAAAGAGGAGGAGGAAAGAAAGAGGAGAGAAGAGGAGGAAGAAGAAGUGAGGAGGCAGCUGGAGAAGAGGAGGAGACAAAGAGAGGAAGAGGAGGAGAGGAAGAAAAAAGAGGAAGGGGAGAAGCUGAGGCUGCAGGAGAUCGAAGAGAAAAAGAAACAAGAAGCCGAGGAGAGGAGGAGGAGGGAGGAGGAGGAGCAGAGGAGGCUGUCGAUGGAGGAGGAGGCUGACGGCUGCUCGGAUCCACUGGAGAGGAAGAGGAGGGCGGAGGAGCUGCGGUGGAAGGAGAUGGAGGAGAGACAGCGGCCUUUCUCUUUCAAAGUUUCCUCUGGAGAGAAACAGAUUCUCUUCCAGAAGGUGAACCUGACGCCUGUGACGCCGGCCUCCAGCCAGCAGGGCGGCGCCGCGGCCGAGCAAAGAGAGAGCACCAAGGGCUCCUCGUCCUCUGAAGGAGCUGACUCUCCAAAUCUGCCAACGUCCCCGUACGUCCCCCACACCGCCAUUCUUGUCACGGGCGCUCAGCUCUGUGGGACAGCAGUCAACUUGGACCAGAUCAAAGACACAGCCUGCAAGUCUCUGCUGGGUCUCGGAGAGGACAGGAAGGCGCAGGGGACCCCGCCCACCAAGAGUAAGACAUCACCGGACCGCAAGUCUGGUAAAACUAAAUCCCUCAACGAGUCCUCCUCGCUCUCUACGGAUCAGUCCGGUUCCGCGGUCCUUGCGGAGUGGGCGAGCAUCAGAUCGAAAAUAUUCAAAGGAGUCGAGGAGGGGAAAUAUGACGAGCACGAGCCUGGCAAACAGCCGGGAGCUGAGGAACAGCCUGCCUUCUCCCACGCCAACCUCAGAAAGACCAUGUCCGCCAGCGCCAAGUUCUCCAUCACACCCGCAAAGAAGAAGUUUGGAGAUUCAAACAGGAACUCGGAGGUCUUCAGUGCAGAAGAAGCAGUGGAUGAAGUUGCUCCUUCUGAAACUCCGCCUCCUCCUCCUCCUCCUCCAGCCAGCCGCCCUCAGAGCAGGACGAGUAAAACCGUCCGCAUCGUGGAGCGAGGCUCAGAGGAGUGCAUGUUCGCCAAAGACCUGCCCUCCUUCCUGGUCCCGAGUCCCGGAGCCAAACCUGAGGGAUUGGAGCUGAAGAGCAGGGCGAAGAGCGAGACGGAGGCAGGCGAGGGAGCGGACGGAGGAGGACAAGACGGGGAGGACAAUCCUUCACCGUUUGGCAUCAAGCUGCGCAGGACCAACUUCUCGCUCCGCUUCCACAGCGAGCAGUCCACCGAGAAACGGAAGAAACGCUACAGCGCUGGGGACAGCUUCGACGGCGUCCCUUCACCUCUCACCCCCAUCGAGCCGGACUCUGACACCUCCUCUGUCUUCUCUGAAAAGUCAAGUCCAACAUCGCCUCAGAAGGAAGGCGCCGUUGGCAAGUACUCGCAUGCGUCCGCCUCGCCUGCGUUCCCUCGGGGUAAAGCGGGUAAGUCGACCAGCAGUCCCCCUGCACACGUUAACGCUGAGAAAGUGGUUUCCAAACCUCCGAUCUACCGCAGACCAACAACGUCGCCCAAGCCAGUCCCCACACCUCCCCCGUCGCCGCUACCCAAAGUGUCCCCGGGGCCUCCCAGUGAUGUCCUGACCCAGAGGACGGGAGCCGCAGAGUCGUCCGGCCAGGAGCCGACGAGGAGCGAGGAGGCUUCAGCGAUAACCCGGAUAAGCCCCGUCCAAGGAGAGGAGGAGCCGAAGGAGAAGAGAUCCUUCUUCCCCUCCAUCAACAUCCCCUGGAGAGAGAAGACGGACAGGAAGACGGAGCUCAUCAAAAAGGAGAAGCCGUCCCCUGCAGAGCAGACACUCUCUGGACAGUUCAAGGGUCCAGGACAAGGAGGCGGGGCCUCUGUGGAUCACGCUGGCUCUGCAGAAACAGAAAGGUUUCCGGGAGCAGCAGCAGAACCGAGACGAGCGUCGCAGCCAAAGAGAGGCCAAGCAGGCUGAGAAGCACGCUCGAGACAGUGUCGCUCUGCUGAGCCCCACAGAGAGCCGAGGGAGCGGCAGCACCAGCCCGUCCUCCAAACCUCAAACACCGGAGGAGCCAAAGAGACCCGACAGCCUGCUGGGACGAUUCGAGCGACGAGAACAACUGAAGAAAGCCAGCACUUUACCAAGCUCUGUCACUGUUGAGAUCACAGACUCCACACCGUCGCCCCCUGCUGUCAAGGAGGUGUCAAAGCGCUUCCCAUCCACCGACUCCCCACAGGUGUCCACAGAGCCUGCCUGGCUAGCCCUCGCCAAGCGGAAGGCCAAAGCGUGGAGCGACUGUCCUCAGAUCAUCAAAUAACACAAACAGAUGCGCACACACACACACACACACACCGGCUCCGGCCUGCACUAAGACUACACACUGCCCACAGACUCUCCUCCCCCCCUCCCCUCCUAGAAAACCUACCUGACUGUGAAGCCACGCCCUCCAUCACCUCGUACCCCCGACACACACACACACACACUGUCUGGUACUAUUAUCAUGUUAAAGUGCGCUUCACAUUCAGAUACUCUCAAACAGCUGCACACAGAUAUGUAAACUCCAGUCGCGCGCAUGCACAUACUGUAUACAAACAUACACACACACGUAUAGAUGCAGAUAGAAACACACCGCAGUACUAAGCAGCCAAUCAGAAGCAGGGCUGGCACUUCGCAACAGCCAACCCUGAUGUUUUUUUUAUUUUGUAGCCAAGCGUGUCACCUUCAUUGUAAAUAAACCAUCGGCUCAUAAAAAAAAAAAAAACUGGUGAAACUUGUGUAUUGGAGAGCUCUGACAUGUGAGUGUGUAAUCAGCCGAGGGUUAACUGUCUGUGUUCAAAGGGCUACCAGUUAACUAUAGUGCCACCUGUGGACCACUGGUGGAAGUGUUACAUCCUCUGUGCCCUCGUUAGUAUUAUUUCUGUACGUUUAAAGAUCUCCUCUCUGA